This 318-nucleotide ribosomal RNA is filed under the name uncultured Pseudomonadota bacterium. Its description in RNAcentral is "bacterial SSU rRNA". It matches the Rfam family "Bacterial small subunit ribosomal RNA", at positions 30 to 351 of the family's 1533-position model. Lineage: Bacteria; Pseudomonadati; Pseudomonadota. The record is from RNAcentral.
AUUGAACGCUGGCGGUAUGCUUAACACAUGCAAGUCGAACGGUAGCAGGUCUUCGGAUGCUGACGAGUGGCGGACGGGUGAGUAACGCGUAGGAAUCUGCCUUGUAGUGGGGGACAACUUGUGGAAACGCAAGCUAAUACCGCAUACGCCCUAAGGGGGAAAGGAGGGGAUCUUCGGACCUUUCGCUAUAAGAUGAGCCUGCGUUGGAUUAGCUAGUUGGUGGGGUAAAGCCUACCAAGGCGACGAUCCAUAGCUGGUCUGAGAGGACGAUCAGCCACACUGGGACUGAGACACGGCCCAGACUCCUACGGGUGGCAG